UCGAGAGGCUUCCACAAUGGGGGAAACCCUGAUGGAGCGACGCCGCGUGGGUGAUGAAGGUCUUCGGAUCGUAAAGCCCUUUCAGUAAGGAUGAAGUUACCCUAUGCUAAUACUGUGGGGUAAAAGACGGUACUUACAGAAGAAGCUCCGGCUAACUCCGUGCCAGCAGCCGCGGUAAGACGGAGGGAGCAAGCGUUGUUCGGAAGUAUUGGGCGUAAAGGGCGCGUAGGCGGUAAUGUAAGUCAGAUGUGAAAUACUCAGGCUCAACCAGAGAACAGCAUCUGAAACUGCAUAACUAGAGUACAGUAGAGGUAGGCGGAAUGUGUAGUGUAGCGGUGAAAUGCAUAGAUAGUACACAGAACACCGAUUGCGUAGGCAGCUUACUGGAGUGUAACUGACGCUGAGGCACGAUAGCGUGGGGAUCAAACA
Molecule: ribosomal RNA, 429 nt
Filed under: uncultured prokaryote
Description: bacterial SSU rRNA
Rfam family: Bacterial small subunit ribosomal RNA
Source: RNAcentral